Molecule: ribosomal RNA, 253 nt
Filed under: uncultured bacterium
Lineage: Bacteria
Description: partial 16S ribosomal RNA
Rfam family: Bacterial small subunit ribosomal RNA
Source: RNAcentral
UACGGAGGGGGCUAGCGUUGUUCGGAAUUACUGGGCGUAAAGCGCACGUAGGCGGUUUCUCAAGUCAGAGGUGAAAGCCCGGAGCUCAACUCCGGAAUAGCCUUUGAAACUAGGAAACUUGAACGUCGGAGAGGUGAGUGGAAUUCCGAGUGUAGAGGUGAAAUUCGUAGAUAUUGGGAGGAACACCAGUGGCGAAGGCGGCUCACUGGACCGGUACUGACGCUCAUGCACGAAAGCGUGGGGAGCAAACAGG